GCAGGGCUGUGUGACAGGCUUGUGCUGGUUCAUGGAGUAAAGAGAAGAUGCACAUGAGCUACCUUGAUCCUAGUGUGAUUUACUUCUCGGCUUUCAUCUUGGCCAAGUGGUUGAGAUUUUAAAGCUCAUUGUAACAUCUGUGGACUCCAGUGACUAACUAGAUUACUAAGAAGGAUCUGUUAAUGUGGCAAGAACAUUGAAUUUGUACCUGAAGACGUAGCCUCAUACGGGACUGACACACUUUUCCUUCACAAGCAGAGUCUGUUUCUUCUCCUUGAAUCAGGGUCAUGCCUUGUAACUACACUGACCAAUGGAUGACAUAAUAAGGGAUACUCUACAACUUCUGAGAUUAGGCCAUAGGAAUAAUGCAGCUUCCUCCUGGCAUUCUUUGGGAUACUUGUCCUUGAAAUCCUGCCUUUGUGUUUCAAGGAGGCUCACACCACCUGGAAAGACCAUAUACAGCUGUUCCAGCCAAUAGACCCAGCCAGGCACUCAGAAAAUUACCAGUACUGACUGCCAGGCAUAUGACGGAAUAGUGUUCGGUCGAUUCCAGCCUUCAAAUCCUCCCAGCUGAGGCUGUAGACCUCACGGAGUA
This is a long non-coding RNA of Canis lupus familiaris (dog), 595 nucleotides long. RefSeq lists it as uncharacterized. The record is from RefSeq and is a predicted model, not a curated record. The transcript has 4 exons. NCBI's taxonomy places the organism in Eukaryota, Metazoa, Chordata, Mammalia, Carnivora, Canidae.